This 252-nucleotide ribosomal RNA is filed under the name uncultured bacterium. Its description in RNAcentral is "partial 16S ribosomal RNA". It matches the Rfam family "Bacterial small subunit ribosomal RNA", at positions 524 to 776 of the family's 1533-position model. The record is from RNAcentral.
UACGUAGGGGGCUAGCGUUAUCCGGAAUUACUGGGCGUAAAGGGUGCGUAGGUGGUUUCUUAAGUCAGAGGUGAAAGGCUACGGCUCAACCGUAGUAAGCCUUUGAAACUGGGGAACUUGAGUGCGGGAGAGGAGAGUGGAAUUCCUAGUGUAGCGGUGAAAUGCGUAGAUAUUAGGAGGAACACCAGUUGCGAAGGCGGCUCUCUGGACUGUAACUGACACUGAGGCACGAAAGCGUGGGGAGCAAACAGG